CACUCAUCUCGUUCGAUCCCCACCAGGCUCAUCCAGAUGCGCCAUUUCUCCUGAUUUGCUGCUGGCAAAGGAAGAUGUCGUUGGUGCCAGCAGUAAACUAAUUCCCAGCCUAUUCUCCAGCAUGCGGAUCGAGUCUGCCGGCGCGGCCACGGGGAGGGCAAGGGAGAACAUGGCGUGCUGUUCAAACUCGUCAUGGCCGGCGGCGAGCUGUCAUAGCUGAGGUGCUGGAUGUGGGUGGCUGCGCUGAUGGAGCUUACGGAGAAGGCUGCACCAAUUUGUGAAUUUCCUUCUCGCAAAAAAAUUGUGAAUUUCCCAGGCGAACUCAUGCUACGGAGAAUGGUUGGAUCUAAAGGCACGGGACUACGGAUGGCACCAUGGCUAUGGUCCAUGAGAUCAAUUGGGUAAUGUAGGCAAGUCUCACACCGCGGACUGCUCAGCGCGGUGGUUCUCCUAUUAGCUGAGGCGCUGGAGAAGAGACAGUCAGGAUGGCGACACCGGGCUAAUCUAGCCGUAUGUGGAACACUGGAGAGCAUGCGAUUGGCGUUUAUCAUGUUUUGCUAUUAAUAAGUUUAUGAAGCAAGGUAUAUCUGAGCUGAGUGCUACUUAGCAAAAAUAGCCGUACAUUAUAACAAUAUGAAGAAAGUAUUCAAACUGAUCUGGAUUAAGGACACCAUGGUAAGAUUCACAUGUUAUCAACUUAUCUUGCUAUAUAGUAUUUGCCAAUGCAAAUAUAUUGCAUUUUUUGGAUUCUGCAACUUUAAAAUUGCUAAAUGUGUAAAUAGACCGCACAUUGAUCUUUGAUUAGAAAGUUUCUAUCAAAUUCUUCCAGAUAGUGGUAUGAAUUGUUUAAACUUGGGAAAAUGAUCAAAUAUACUUAAUAAUUGUUGUUUAAAAGAAUAAAACAAUUUGCAACUACAUAUAUAAAGAACAGUCAUGUUCUUUGUCAGGAACUCAUGAUCAUAUCUAGGCAGACAAACUCAUUUGUUGUAGGAUUGAUCAAAUCCCAUUCUCAUUACUUUCACUUGAAUGUUCCAGUUUUCUCCCCUUGUCGUUAAGUCGCUCAACUUCUUGUAAUCAGAUCUUUUGCUUCAGAAGGAUAUAAAUAGUUGUCAAUGGAUGAAGUUAUUGUGAAAUCUUUAUCAAGAAUGAUUGAGCUUUCUAAGUAUGUAAUAAUUACCAAACUUUGUGAUUUACGUGAGACAUAGUUGAGCAGGACUUCGUCCAACGCCGAAUUGCUUGUCCUGUGAAGCAGUUGGGCGUAGGUUUGUUUGGUGUUGACUGUUGAGUUCCAUGUCGUGAUUGCGUCAUCAUAUUGGCUGACUUCAAUUUCUUCGGUGGUGUAUUCGUGGUUUUUGGAUGACGUCUACUCUUUCGGGCGUGUGCAUGUGUUGUUGGUUGGAGAUGUUUAUAUGGGUAGUUGUGGCUGACACCCUUUGGAGUUCUAAUCAGAUCGGUAAUUUGCAUGCAUAAGUGUGUUUAGAUAUCUAAGAACAUGAGGUGUGCGUCUUGUUUGAUUAGGUAUGCAUUUUGGAGUCCGACACAUCUAGAGUUAUGAUAAUAUAUUUUUCAUAUUUACGUGAGAUGUGCUUCUUAUUUGAUUAGGUAUGAUUGUUGGAGUCCUAUUCAUUGUUGCCUCUUAUCCAUUGCUGCGAAACAGACAUAUUUAAUAAUAGGAAGACAUGAGGGAAAAUCGAAGGCAUGUUGAAUUAUUUGGACGUGUACGUGACGGGCCGAGCUAUGUAUAUAACAAUAUUUAUAUGUAAAACUUGCGUCUUAAAAUCUAGACUGUUAAGAUCUAAGAUUAACGAUUGAGUGUUUUAGCAUAUGUGGAUAUGCGUACUUUUGAUAGUCUUGUAUCAAUGUGAUUUCUUGCUAUUCGAGAUGUUAAGAAACCAAGUGCAAAAAUAAAUUUGAUGGAUGACUACUGAUUUGGAAGUAAUUUGAUUACUUAGUGGAUUUUCUUUGCUUCUAAGUCUAAAUGUGGGAAGCUUUCUUGUAGUCAGAAUGGCGACACAUAUAUGCAACACUGGAGAGCAUGCUUUUUUUUGAAAGAUCCAGUUGCCUGGCUUUUCAUUGAUUUAGCAGAAGAGAGAGUUACAAAAAUGUCACUAAUCAAAAGGAGAUUAGCAACCGAAGAUGGGUCGAUAAUAUGGGUGGGGCAAGUAGAUUGUCCCCCCCUACUCUGUAUCUUUAGCCUAGGGUUUAUAUCUCAUGUGAUAUCCCCAAAGGGGGCCUUGUCGGUGUCAAAACCGGCGGAUCUCGGGUAGGGGGUCCCGAACUGUGCGUCUAGGCGGAUGGUAACAGGAGACAAGGGACACGAUGUUUUACCCAGGUUCGGGCCCUCUCGAUGGAGGUAAAACCCUACGUCCUGCUUGAUUGAUAUUGAUGAUGUGGGUAUUACAAGAGUGGAUCUACCACGAGA
Long non-coding RNA from Triticum aestivum (bread wheat), 2422 nucleotides. RefSeq lists it as uncharacterized. The transcript has 3 exons. Lineage: Eukaryota; Viridiplantae; Streptophyta; Magnoliopsida; Poales; Poaceae. The record is from RefSeq and is a predicted model, not a curated record.